Long non-coding RNA from Mizuhopecten yessoensis (Yesso scallop), 2893 nucleotides. RefSeq lists it as uncharacterized. Lineage: Eukaryota; Metazoa; Mollusca; Bivalvia; Pectinida; Pectinidae. The record is from RefSeq and is a predicted model, not a curated record. The transcript has 3 exons.
GGUAGGGUACCUGUUGUUUGUGGCCCAUGCUCGCAUCACAGCCCAGGACAUCCGCUGCAGAUUCUAUGGCCCCUGUGCAGUACAGAAUGUUUCACUCAAUGGUGUUCAGCAGCCACCACUCACAGAGGAAGCCAAUUUUGUGUUAUCCUGUUGUCCACUUCAACAUGGAAGAAAUGAGGUCAUCAUCAACACAGUACCAGCUCCAGGUUCAAAGGCCAAACUGGUAGUGUGCGCAUACAAAGCACAGCUAAUAGACUCCUAGAAUCGUGUGAAGAGAUUGUAAUGUCCCGGACAUGGACCUGUAUGGGGAAUGUCCCCACACACAAACUCGUUGGGGGAUGAGUCAAGUGUCCUGGACAGAAGAAGGAAAUCUCCACCGACUCCGUACCUGUUGAUCUCAUUCAUUGACUUGUGUUUCCCCUUCCACUGAUCUCGCAUAUGAAGACAAAAUGGAGAAAUGAUAAUUGAAGCCGUCAUUCUGAAGAUUUGAUGUUGACAAGUUUGAACAACAGUUGGAACCUAGUUCAUGUUUGUUCGUAAACUUUAAUAGUGUGUUAAAAUUCAGGUAUGAGGGAUUUGUGAUACAACAGACUGACACACAGGAACCAAGCUCCUGGUCACCUUAAGAGUGUUUACAUGUGUGAAAUAAUACAGAUGUGUGUACAGUCGCUGCUGAUACUAUGACUUGUUGAUCUGUACAGUAUUUGUGAUCCUUUGCCACUUUACAACUUUCAAAUCUGUGACCUCUGUAAGGCUCGGUUGCUACUUUUUUUUUUUAAAUGUGUAUGAAUUUGGCAGAGUUCUGUGUUUGAUUUGUGGUCCGACUGCACACUGACAAAUAUUUGAAGGGUGAGAAAUGAAUCCAUGUGAGGGAAAAUAUCUUCUAUAUUUGUUGGUGCAUACAACAUGCCAAAAUCUAAUCAGAAGGUGAAAUAAUGAAAUUUAAAGUUGUGACUCUAGCCCAGGCCAUUGGUCGAAAUAUGAAUGUAUAUAGAAAGGCCAAUAAGGUAUGGUAUCUGCAGUUACUAUGUACAGGUACAUGUUUGACAGGUGUGUGUAGAUAUGUACAGAUACAUGCUAAACCAGUAUUUACUUGUAGAUGCAAGAUACAGUAAAACAUGUUUAUAGCAAGGCUCGGGGACCCAAGUACUGUGUUCAUUAGAAUCGUAACUUGUAUAUGGUUAAACAAGUAACAUUACUAUAAGAGGGUUCAAAAUGAGUUUGUACUUAGUGCUUAUUUGUUACAAAUAUGUUUGCUGCAAAUAUAGUUUACUGUAUAUCAAUAACACAGGGCAAGUGUAGUAUGUGUGGUACAUACUCUGUACGUGUUACAUUAACAAGUUGUGUGUGUGAAAGCAGGUGGAAUAUUGAUGUAAAUUUUUACACAUCCAAUGUUUUGUACAGUUAAUUAUACCAGUACAACCAUGAAACUAUGUACAUCUUACCCAGCAUCUGUAUAUACUAGAAUCUAUCACUACACCAGUUACCAAUGUACGUACCUGUAUAAACAUAAGAACUAAGGAGGGCAAUCAGGACAGGUGUACAAUACAUUAUACCUAUCUCAUUCAAUCGUAAACAGUAUAUUUUACCUGUACAGAGCCAGUAUUUACCUUUUAAGAGUGAUAUUAAUUAUGUACAAACUCAUGUUGGAUAUUGUUAACAUCCCUUUGAAUCAUCACUAUAUGCAUUACAAUGCAAACAGCUUCGUACAUUAUCAGGCGACAUCCCAGUGACAUCCCCAUCAUGCCAAUUCUACACAGGAUUGUUAUCCAAUUAAUCUGUAUUUCUGGAAGUCUUCUCGACAGAUGAGACGUAAUCUGUCCGGCUCAUAUGAUCCUGUCUACUUGAUAAAUAAGAUCGAAAAAGGUCAUAGCUAUGGUGAUCAGAUUUCAAAAAAGUGAACACUGUUUUAAUGAUCUAGAAUAAAGUUUGAUUUGUUGACAAAAAUCAAAGAUUGGAAAUUAACAUACAACUGAAAAAUAUUCUAAGAUUAUCAGAUUUGUUAGAUUCCAAAAUGAUGAAUGUAAAUGAUUGUGAUAUUUUAAGUGAUGGUUACAUACUGUGCCCUCACUGUCUUUGCUAAUUGUAUAUAUUUCUCUUCAUUGUAUUGUUAAAUAAGCCCAUUCUAGUUGACAUAUAGUAAGCUCACCUUUAAUUAAGUAUUCAUAGAAUUAUUCUAGAAUUUUAUGGAAAUUAAAUUUUUAUUGUCUGGAAUUUGGUUGAAAACUUUCAAUUAGAAACUGAAAAUAAUUUUGAGAAAUUUGAAAAUUAAAAUUUAAGCAACAAUUUGGAUUUAGGAAUACUAUCUCAAAUAUAAUUGUUAGACUAACACGGAAAGUUUGUAACAUCAGAUUUUUUUUCAUAAAGUAUCCCCAGUAUGUUUUGUAUAUUUUCCUUAGUAUAUAUUGCAGUGAUUAUGUGAAGUUAUGUAUUUUUGAUAGUAAAUAUUGCUCUGUAGCAUCAGUCUUGUUGGAAAGCAGUUAAUUUGUGAUGUGGGCUACAUGGUGCUUUUCGUUUGCAAUAUUAUAAAAAAGAUGUUCUGGCACCACCCCUAGUAGGAUGCCGAGUGUUUUGUUAUAACUUUAUGUUAUGUAGUUUUGUGGAUGUGUUUGUGUUAUGUUUAGUCAUAUACACUCCAUUAACCCUCUCACCCCUGUAGACCAUAAUCGACUUAGCCAGAUCAUUGCAUGGCAACGUCUAUUUAAGUUACAUAGGGGUGAGAGGGUUAAGUUGUUUAUAACAAAAUAUAUCAAUAACUAUAUAAGGUGGCACAAUUUGUACAAAAUAUAGUAAACAACAAAUUAUUUACAUAUUUGCUCAACGUUUUUCAUUCUUAAUUCUUUAUUAAAGAACAGAAAUACUAAAAGCACAGUGGCUAAAAUUAACUCAGGAA